Molecule: long non-coding RNA, 546 nt
Organism: Dromaius novaehollandiae (emu)
Lineage: Eukaryota; Metazoa; Chordata; Aves; Casuariiformes; Dromaiidae
Exons: 2
Source: RefSeq, a predicted model, not a curated record
CCCGGCCCGCGCAGCCCCUGCAGCCUCCGCAGCCUCCCCGAGCGCUGGCGGGCAGCCUUUGGGGGUGCUGGCGGCGCGCGGCGCCUUCGAGCCGCAGGGGCGGAGAGGGCUCUCUCGAGGAGCCGCGGGACAGGCGACUAGGGCCGAAGCUGCUGCCCAAAUCUGUGCCGGCCCCUUGGCUUGCAGGUCUGCUUUAUUCAUCCCUUCGACUCGCCGCAUGUUGUAAUCACAGGCUGGUGAAGGCUAACUCCCACCGAUGCGCUCCUUUCCCUUGCUCCUUUUGCUGCUGUUCUGCCCCCGGGCCCAGUGCAGCCGCUGAACCGUGCCAGCCCUGCCGUCUCACCGCGGCCAUGGCACUCCCGCUUGCAGAGCGGCAUAAUUUUACAACGGGUGAAAAGGCAGAACAUGUGAACGAAGUUUAUUGCCUAAUUUUUCAAAUUCUGUAUCCUGUCAUCAGAGGAAGCUACAUCAGCUCAUCCUACUCUGAAAUGCAUUGAACUAUAUUAAUUUACUUUGUAUUCUACUAAUAAACUAUUCUGGACUAAA